GUCGUAACAAGGUCUCCGUAGGUGAACCUGCGGAGGGAUCAUUACACAAAUAUGAAGGCGGGCUGGAACCUCUCGGGGUUACAGCCUUGCUGAAUUAUUCACCCUUGUCUUUUGCGUACUUCUUGUUUCCUUGGUGGGUUCGCCCACCACUAGGACAAACAUAAACCUUUUGUAAUUGCAAUCAGCGUCAGUAACAAAUUAAUAAUUACAACUUUCAACAACGGAUCUCUUGGUUCUGGCAUCGAUGAAGAACGCAGCGAAAUGCGAUAAGUAGUGUGAAUUGCAGAAUUCAGUGAAUCAUCGAAUCUUUGAACGCACAUUGCGCCCUUUGGUAUUCCAAAGGGCAUGCCUGUUCGAGCGUCAUUUGUACCCUCAAGCUUUGUUUGGUGUUGGGCGUCUUGUCUCUAGCUUUGCUGGAGACUCGCCUUAAAGUAAUUGGCAGCCGGCCUACUGGUUUCGGAGCGCAGCACAAGUCGCACUCUCUAUCAGCAAAGGUCUAGCAUCCAUUAAGCCUUUUUUUCAACUUUUGACCUCGGAUCAGGUAGGGAUACCCGCUGAACUUAAGCAUAUCA
RNAcentral lists this ribosomal RNA (572 nucleotides) under uncultured fungus. RNAcentral describes it as "eukaryotic LSU rRNA". The stretch from base 210 to 363 matches the Rfam family "5.8S ribosomal RNA". The record is from RNAcentral. Lineage: Eukaryota; Fungi.